RNAcentral lists this non-coding RNA (30 nucleotides) under Rattus norvegicus (Norway rat). The record is from RNAcentral. Lineage: Eukaryota; Metazoa; Chordata; Mammalia; Rodentia; Muridae.
UGCACAGUCCUAUUUUUUAAUUCGAGUGUC